UUCCGGUUGAUCCUGCCGGACCUGACUGCUAUCGGAUUGGUACUAAGCCAUGCGAGUCAUUGUAGCAAUACAAGGCGGACGGCUCAGUAACACGUAGUCAACCUAACUCGUGGACGUGGAUAACCUCGGGAAACUGAGAAUAAACCACGAUAGAUCAUAGUGCCUGGAAUGGCUUAUGGUCCAAACAGUUUACUGCCAUGGGAUGGGACUGCGGCCUAUCAGCUUGUUGGUGAGGUAAUGGCCCACCAAGGCGAUUACAGGUACGGGCUCUGAGAGGAGAAGCCCGGAGAUGGGUACUGAGACACGGACCCAGGCCCUAUGGGGCGCAGCAGGCGAGAAACCUUAGCAAUGUGCGAAAGCACGACUGGGUCAGUCCGAGUGAUUCCUGAUAAAGGAGUCUUUUGCUUGUCCUAAAAGCACAGGUGAAUAAGGGGUGGGCAAGUCUGGUGUCAGCCACCGCGGUAAUACCAGCACCUCGAGUGGUCAGGACGUUUAUUGGGCCUAAAGCAUCCGUAGCCGGCUUUGCAAGUCUUCGGUUAAAUCCACCUGCUCAACAGAUGGGCCGCUGGAGAUACUACAAAGCUAGGGAGUGGGAGAGGCAGACGGUAUUCAGUGGGUAGGGGUAAAAUCCUCUGAUCCAUUGAGGACCACCAGUGGCGAAGGCGGUCUGCCAGAACACGUUCGACGGUGAGGGAUGAAAGCUGGGGGAGCAAACCGGAUUAGAUACCCGGGUAGUCCCAGCUGUAAACGAUGCAAACUCGGUGAUGCAUUGGCUUAUGGCCAAUGCAGUGCCGCAGGGAAGCCGUUAAGUUUGCCGCCUGGGAAGUACGGACGCAAGUCUGAAACUUAAAGGAAUUGGCGGGGGAGCACCACAAGGGGUGAAGCCUGCGGUUCAAUUGGAUU
This 903-nucleotide ribosomal RNA is filed under the name uncultured archaeon. RNAcentral describes it as "bacterial SSU rRNA". It matches the Rfam family "Archaeal small subunit ribosomal RNA", at positions 1 to 912 of the family's 1478-position model. The record is from RNAcentral.